This 72-nucleotide small RNA is filed under the name Mytilus galloprovincialis (Mediterranean mussel). The record is from RNAcentral. Lineage: Eukaryota; Metazoa; Mollusca; Bivalvia; Mytilida; Mytilidae.
AAUCCCAUGGGAUUUUUUUUUGUCCCAUGGGAUUAUUGUAGUCCCAUGGGACAAAAAAAAUCCCAUGGGAUU